Molecule: ribosomal RNA, 253 nt
Filed under: uncultured bacterium
Lineage: Bacteria
Description: partial 16S ribosomal RNA
Rfam family: Bacterial small subunit ribosomal RNA
Source: RNAcentral
UACAGAGGGUGCGAGCGUUAAUCGGAAUUACUGGGCGUAAAGCGUGCGUAGACGGUAGCGUAAGUCAGAUGUGAAAGCCCCGGGCUCAACCUGGGAAUGGCAUUUGAGACUGCUCUGCUUGGGUGCGGAAGAGGGAAGCGGAAUUUCCGGUGUAGCGGUGAAAUGCGUAGAUAUCGGAAGGAACACCAGUGGCGAAAGCGGCUUCCUGGUCCAGCACCGACGUUCAGGCACGAAAGCGUGGGGAGCAAACAGG